GGCUGCAGAAAUCUCCUAUUUCCUUUCAUUUUUCGGCUAUGCAGCUGCAUUUCUAAGCCAUGACUACAUUGCUAAAUGAAUCAUUGAUUUGGAAAAUCUGAAGUGACCUUCAACUUGUUCUCAAGCUCUUCCUCAAGAGAAGAGAGGGAAAAUCAACCAAAUAUCGAAGAAGUUAUUUUUCUAAAGGAAUUAUCCUAAGGAAGGCAUUCUCUGAGAAGCUCAAACUGUCUCAAACUGCUGUGACCUCGCACGCUAAUACCCCCAUUGGUACAACUCACCAUUUUAUUAAAAGCAAUACAAUUCUUGCAUUCAUUUGAUCUGAUCUGGAUUUUUACUUUUGCUUUGUCCAUACCAGCAGAGGUAAAACAUCCAGAGGAAAGAAAGAGAGAAGAUACCACACCCUGG
Molecule: long non-coding RNA, 405 nt
Filed under: Mustela putorius furo (domestic ferret)
Lineage: Eukaryota; Metazoa; Chordata; Mammalia; Carnivora; Mustelidae
Description: lncRNA (ENSMPUG00000028536.1)
Source: RNAcentral